CCUACGGGUGACAGCAGUGAGGAAUAUUGGUCAAUGGGCUUACGCCUGAACCAGCCAAGUCGCGUGAGGGAAGACUGCCCUAUGGGUUGUAAACCUCUUUUGUCAGGGAGCAACGCCGGCUACGUGUAGCCGGACUGAGAGUACCUGAAGAAAAAGCAUCGGCUAACUCCGUGCCAGCAGCCGCGGUAAUACGGAGGAUGCGAGCGUUAUCCGGAUUUAUUGGGUUUAAAGGGUGCGUAGGCGGAAUGCCAAGUCAGCGGUAAAAUCGCGGGGCUCAACCUCGCUCCGCCGUUGAAACUGGCGGUCUUGAGUGGGCGAGAAGUAUGCGGAAGGCGUGGUGUAGCGGUGAAAUGCAUAGAUAUCACGCAGAACUCCGAUUGCGAAGGCAGCAUACCGGCGCCCAACUGACGCUGAAGCACGAAAGCGUGGGUAUCGAACAGGAUUAGAUACCCCAGUAGUC
RNAcentral lists this ribosomal RNA (460 nucleotides) under uncultured bacterium. Its description in RNAcentral is "partial 16S ribosomal RNA". It matches the Rfam family "Bacterial small subunit ribosomal RNA", at positions 338 to 795 of the family's 1533-position model. The record is from RNAcentral.